AAGACCGUACUUUUUAGGAUCAUUUCUAUAGUACGCGUUCUUCCUUUGCUUCACAGCAAUGCGAAACACAACAGCCAUGAUGAUGAGCUGGAGAAUUGUUUUCUGAGCGGGAAGUUCAGCAUUUCCAAGUUCGAGAAUUCAAAUGUGGUUCUGCUAUUGAUGACCGUUCCUAGAAAGCUGUCAAUCACAGCAUUCUUGGAGGAAAGCAAUUCCAGCUGAGUGGC
This 224-nucleotide small nucleolar RNA is filed under the name Clytia hemisphaerica. RNAcentral's name for it is "small nucleolar RNA U3". It matches the Rfam family "Small nucleolar RNA U3". From Rfam's summary of the family: Small nucleolar RNAs (snoRNAs) are involved in the processing and modification of rRNA in the nucleolus. There are two main classes of snoRNAs: the box C/D class, and the box H/ACA class. The record is from Rfam by way of RNAcentral. Lineage: Eukaryota; Metazoa; Cnidaria; Hydrozoa; Leptothecata; Clytiidae.